UAAUUCGACGCAACGCGCAGAACCUUACCUGGUCUUGACAUCCCGGGAAUCAUUUGGAAACAUAUGAGUGCCUCAUUAGAGGAGCCUGGUGACAGGUGCUGCAUGGGCUGUCGUCAGCUCGUGUCGUGAGAUGUUGGGUUAAGUCCCGCAACGAGCGCAACCCUUGCCUUUAGUUNCCAUCAUUAAGUUGGGCACUCUAGAGGGACUGCCGGUGUCAAACCGGAGGAAGGUGGGGAUGACGUCAAGUCCUCAUGGCCUUUAUGACCAGGGCUACACACGUACUACAAUGGCAUGUACAAAGGGCAGCCACAGGGUGACCUGGAGCGAAUCCUUAAAACAUGUCUCAGUCCGGAUUGGAGUCUGCAACUCGACUCCAUGAAGUUGGAAUCGCUAGUAAUCGUAGAUCAGCAUGCUACGGUGAAUACGUUCCCGGGCCUUGUACACACCGCCCGUCAC
This 456-nucleotide ribosomal RNA is filed under the name uncultured delta proteobacterium. Its description in RNAcentral is "bacterial SSU rRNA". It matches the Rfam family "Bacterial small subunit ribosomal RNA", at positions 947 to 1400 of the family's 1533-position model. Lineage: Bacteria; Deltaproteobacteria. The record is from RNAcentral.